CAAGGUAUAGCUUAACAUAAAGCAUCCGGCUUACACCCAGAAGACCUCAACAUCGUUUGACUACCUUGA
This 69-nucleotide transfer RNA is filed under the name Cercopithecus erythrogaster pococki. RNAcentral describes it as "tRNA-Val". It matches the Rfam family "tRNA". From Rfam's summary of the family: Transfer RNA (tRNA) molecules are approximately 80 nucleotides in length. Lineage: Eukaryota; Metazoa; Chordata; Mammalia; Primates; Cercopithecidae. The record is from RNAcentral.